Long non-coding RNA from Pyrus x bretschneideri (Chinese white pear), 690 nucleotides. RefSeq lists it as uncharacterized. The transcript is spliced from 3 exons. Lineage: Eukaryota; Viridiplantae; Streptophyta; Magnoliopsida; Rosales; Rosaceae. The record is from RefSeq and is a predicted model, not a curated record.
CCCUCUUUUUUGCUGCUCUCUUCUCCAGCCGAGAGUGAGAGGGUAAUUUCACCUUUUUAGUUCUUUUGGCUGCCAGAUUCUCAAGGAAGAAGAAUUCAAUAUCCGGUUGAAUUUGCUUGUGUCGAUUAGGACAAGUCAAAUUCUUUCCUUCGUGUCCACUAGAGAUAAGGAAGAGAAGGACAAGGUGGCUACGGUGCAAGUCACAGUCGGAGUUGAACAUCAACAAAUUGUGUUGAGGUGGUGUAAGGUUGACUAGCUGAGUUUUGAGUUGCAGUUCUAUUUUGUGGACUAGUGAAGAGGAGUCUAGACGUAUAUCUUUUGGGUGAGCUGCCAAUGUAUUUUGUAUAGUUAGUCUUAGUCUGUAAAUGAUCAUUUUGUUGCGUUGUAAAUUAAGAAGACGUAGGCCACAAUGGGUUAGCGUCUCUACUUACCUAGGCAAUGAAAACCAUGCAACAUUUGAUCACAUGUCUUUUGGUUUGUAUAAUUUUUGCUCAUUUGUAUUUUUCAUCAAAUGACCUGAACAUGUUUUUCUGGUAAGAAGCCUCAAAGUUUCUUUUAUGAACUAGUUAAAAUCUAUGAGGUUUGAUGUGUUACAUUUUUUUUUUUUUUGGUAAACAUGAAAUUUGUUAGGUUUGAUGUGUUACAUUUUGAGAACCAUGAAUUUGGUUACCAUUCGAACUUGUGGCUGAU